RNAcentral lists this transfer RNA (78 nucleotides) under Candidatus Falkowbacteria bacterium RIFOXYA2_FULL_38_12. Its description in RNAcentral is "tRNA-Glu". It matches the Rfam family "tRNA". Rfam says of the family: Transfer RNA (tRNA) molecules are approximately 80 nucleotides in length. Their secondary structure includes four short double-helical elements and three loops (D, anti-codon, and T loops). RNAcentral also lists the same sequence under 1 other name. The record is from RNAcentral. Lineage: Bacteria; Candidatus Falkowiibacteriota.
GGCCCUAUCGUCUAGUCUGGUCUAGGACACCAGGUUUUCAUCCUGGUAACCCGGGUUCGAAUCCCGGUGGGGCUACCA